GGAUAGUAAGCGAAUGGUUAGCGGCUUCCUUGGAAAGGAAGUGCCGGUUUACCGGUUGCGAGUUCGAAUCUCGUGCUAUCCGCC
Molecule: transfer RNA, 84 nt
Filed under: Mariniblastus fucicola
Lineage: Bacteria; Pseudomonadati; Planctomycetota; Planctomycetia; Pirellulales; Pirellulaceae
Description: tRNA-Ser
Rfam family: tRNA
About the family: Transfer RNA (tRNA) molecules are approximately 80 nucleotides in length. Their secondary structure includes four short double-helical elements and three loops (D, anti-codon, and T loops).
Source: RNAcentral